Molecule: long non-coding RNA, 1322 nt
Organism: Cyprinus carpio (common carp)
Lineage: Eukaryota; Metazoa; Chordata; Actinopteri; Cypriniformes; Cyprinidae
Source: Ensembl
CCAGACCAAAAUAAAAGUCUUUUUACCUAAAAUCAUAGGCUCUUUCCGAAAUCACCCCUACACCAAACUCACUUUGACUUGCAAUACAGAAAAAGCAACAUGACAAAGAAUUGUGAUAAAAUCGAAAUAUUUCAAAAAUAAUAAUAAUAAUAAAACUAUUAUAUGAUAUUUUUGUUAUAUUGCCCACCCCUACUUGUCACAUGUUCAGAACAAAUUAGGUUAUAACGUUUAUAAUGUUUGUGUUAAACCUCUGUAUAAACCAUAUUCCCACAUACCAUAUUGGUUAUAAAGAAUGUAUUGAUAUAUUGUACAAAGUUAAUAUAAUAGCUAGCCCUUAUAGUAAUUAAAUUGUACUAUUCUUAAUUCCAAUUAUUACCACAUAAAAAACUACUAGUGAUACAUGAGUGUAUGAGUUUAAAUAUGUGAGCUGAAAUUAUGUUUUUAAUUUUUGUUUGUUUUUUAGUUACAAGGACAACAUUUUCUUGUAGGUAAUUUAAUAAUUGUUUAUAUUUGUAAGUUUUUUUGUAUUUAAUAUUUAAUGGAGUUCCAGGGUGCGUCAAUUGAGGCACAGUCAUGCUAUAUUGAAGACACUUCAGGAACAAUAAAAGUUCAACUGUGGGAAAGUUUGAUAGGCAAACUAGAAUUUGGGUCUACCUACAAAAUGACUGAUGUCAGUACGAGAGUGUUCGCUGGAAGCAUGUACUUGACGACCAGCCGCAGAAGUGAAAUCGAACAAGUGGCCGCUCUCAAAGGACUGAAUGAAGUUAUUCAAUUCAGAAUUGAUGAAGGUGAAGUCAUUGUGCUUGAAUGGAGCAUUACAUCAGUUGAGGUUGCAGUUUCACGUAGGUGUUCACGAUGCCAGGCUUGGCAACAAGAUUUUGAAACACAAGGUCAAUUCCAUCGUUGUUUUUGUUGCAAGAGACUGCAACAUGUUCAAGCAUUCCAACCAACCGUCAAUGCUGCAGUGACCUUUGUUGGUGAUUUUGGUGAGCGGGAGUUGACCUUGCCAAACUCGAUUAUUAAAAGGUGUGUGCAGAGGGAGAACCUUUCUGAUCUGUUAAAUGAAGCACAAGAUUUUGAAGAGCACUUGAUGACGAACAUGGUGUUCAGGAUGUCACGCAGCGUGAUGUUGUGAUCUGUAUGGAGAAAGUGCCUGAAAGCAGCAUGGUGCAAGACAUACAUCCAGAAGAACAGAUGGAUGGGUCUGAUGCAGAAUUGGUUGCAGUGGACAGUGUGGAUGUAGAAGUACUUGCAGGCAGAGGUGAGUAGUAAUGAAGUUCAUUCAAAAUAAAGCAUGUAUGCUACAGUGUAAAAAAAAAAAA